Molecule: long non-coding RNA, 636 nt
Organism: Salvia miltiorrhiza (redroot sage)
Lineage: Eukaryota; Viridiplantae; Streptophyta; Magnoliopsida; Lamiales; Lamiaceae
Exons: 2
Source: RefSeq, a predicted model, not a curated record
UUUAAUUUGAAGGUGAUUUAUAAAUCCCAAUCGGCGACAAAUUUUACAUACGCGGCGCGAGAGAUACCGGCGGUGGACUGCAGCCACAGUCGGCCGAAAUCGUUGGUAGGCUUUUGUGAGCGAAAGAGCCUACUCGAAUUCACAAACAGAGAUAGAGGGGUGGACUGGCACCGCAGACGACGACAAAGGGGAGAGACUGACAUUGUGGAUGAUGCUGACAUUACACCCGAGCAGCUGAGCAGGGGAGUGACUCGUGAUUGCCGAUUGGUGCGAGGGACUGGAUGGAUUGGUCGGACGGUGCGACGUCGGAUGAUCGGUCUGACGACAGAACAUGAGAGACUGAGAACUGAGAAAAGAACAAAGAGAGAAUAAUUGAAGACUGGUGUGCAGCGCAUGGUUAUAAUUUUGCCUCUUAGUUACUUAGGGUUUGGGGAAAAAAAAACGUAAAUUCUAAAUUAAAUUAUUGAAAUUUAGUAUAUAUAAUUUAAUAUAUUCAGGUCGAAAUGAUUUUCGGCGGGUUUAGGUCACCCAAAACUGAAAUCGACCUGAUAAUUUAUCGAUCCUGGAUUUUGAAGCCACCCCACAACGAAUUCUAGUGCCAAACCGACUGAAUCGACCGGUUCUAUUCGGUUCGAC